GAUGAACGCUGGCGGCGUGCCUAAUACAUGCAAGUCGAGCGAACAGACGAGGAGCUUGCUCCUCUGAUGUUAGCGGCGGACGGGUGAGUAACACGUGGAUAACCUACCUAUAAGACUGGGAUAACUUCGGGAAACCGGAGCUAAUACCGGAUAACAUGUUGAACCGCAUGGUUCAACAGUGAAAGACGGUCUUGCUGUCACUUAUAGAUGGAUCCGCGCCGCAUUAGCUAGUUGGUAAGGUAACGGCUUACCAAGGCAACGAUGCGUAGCCGACCUGAGAGGGUGAUCGGCCACACUGGAACUGAGACACGGUCCAGACUCCUACGGGAGGCAGCAGUAGGGAAUCUUCCGCAAUGGGCGAAAGCCUGACGGAGCAACGCCGCGUGAGUGAAGAAGGUCUUCGGAUCGUAAAACUCUGUUAUUAGGGAAGAACAAAUGUGUAAGUAACUAUGCACGUCUUAACGGUACCUAAUCAGAAAGCCACGGCUAACUACGUG
RNAcentral lists this ribosomal RNA (497 nucleotides) under uncultured bacterium. Its description in RNAcentral is "partial 16S ribosomal RNA". It matches the Rfam family "Bacterial small subunit ribosomal RNA", at positions 28 to 507 of the family's 1533-position model. The record is from RNAcentral.